Orbicella faveolata is the source of this 1509-nucleotide long non-coding RNA. The record is from RefSeq and is a predicted model, not a curated record. Lineage: Eukaryota; Metazoa; Cnidaria; Anthozoa; Scleractinia; Merulinidae.
UGGGAACUAAAGUUGACUACGCAUGCUGGAAACACAAUACAACGGGAUACUCAAACCCCUGUCCACUGAGAACGCAGUUUCGACAGUUGUCGACAACUAAACCAGUGACUCCCACACACGGGGAAAAAUGGUCAAAAACGUUGUACUUUGUCGACAAGAAAAGCAGUUUUCCUUUUCGAAAAGGGACAUUGCUUAGUUGUCGAUAACUAAAAAUUAAGCGUUUUGUUUUCGACUACUCAUCUGGCGUACAGAUAUAUUUUAGUUGUCGAUAACAAAUAGUUUGCCGACAACUUAAGGUGUAGUCUGAGCACUUACUUGCGGUGUUCCGCUAGAGAGAACAAUAACUGGAGCUCUAAGAGUUGUUGUGUCCUUUAGUCGAGAUAAAAUCUGAAAUAUGUUUGCAGUUUCUUUGUUUUAUCUUUGUUUCCUUCAGCUUUGACAGUCUCGACUCCCUAGCUUUGUACGGCUCUUUUUUUGCCAUUGUUUUCUUGAGGCUUACCACAAUUAUUCGUGCCGGCUGACAGGAGAUAUGGUCGACCGUAUUGACUGUGAGCACGUGAAAAAAGUUUACAAAACUUUUCAAGAUGCAGGGUGUAUGUUCUCAAACAAACACAAAAAACAUGCAAAUAGUUUUCAAGGUAACACAUUAUCAUACUCUUUAUUGUUUAUUGACUUUCUUUAUCUCAGUACUACAAUUGGUAAAUGUAGCGCCGGAAAUUCGUGCCAUGACAGUGUAUCAUAUUAUUUGCCUACUUGUGGAAAUCUUUCGUUCUGUAUGACAGGCAUACCUUUAUCUUGAGGUGACUGAAGAAUGUCGGGAAGUGCUUAACAAAGAGUUUAUGGCCACAAAGAACCUUUCUACAAGACUUGCAAUGAAAGUUAAAAUCCUUGCUGAACGUAACGAGAGAGGUUAACGAGAAUUUUAUUACCCGCUUGCCUCCUAACUCCGAGUUUUGGUCAAAGAAGUUGCACAUGAUUGAUGUCAUGAUGAGAUGGAGACGUAUAUACAUUCAGGUUUGACGGCUUUGUCGAAGUAUCUUUGAAUCGAGAGCCGCAAGCGACGGUCAGUUGCAGACGGUGAGAUUUGCUGGCCCACUAAUAAACCUUGACAAGAACAUCAUUGAAGAGGUGAUUUCUGAAGAGAUUGCCUCAUUGCCUGAAAGAAUUUCAGCAGCAACAAGGUGGAAGAAGGCAUGAAGAAACCAAGCAAAAAAAGGAUCAUCACCUGAUCAGGAAGACCCCAAUGGAGGAAAACAAAAUACAAGAAAAAGUGUAAUGUGGUACCACUCGGGCAAAUACAUUGCCACACCUGUGUUUGAUUGUUGGGGCCAGAACUGUGUUGAGGAUAGCAGGCAUUUGAUGUAUCAAUGAUUGUCACUUGGGCAAGGAAAGGGAAAAUACUCUUGUUUGAUUGGUAUCUAUGAGCUUCUUGGUAAAUGUUUGGAUGGACUGUUUUGGUACACAAUGUGGUGCAAGUAGACACUAACACAGGUAUUACUCACUUCUGGU